ACGCUUUGUGGUUCAACUGAUUUGAAGAGCUUGCUCAGAUAUGACGAUGGACAUUGCAAAGAGUGGCGAACGGGUGAGUAACACGUGGGAAACCUACCUCUUAGCAGGGGAUAACAUUUGGAAACAGAUGCUAAUACCGUAUAACAAUAGCAACCGCAUGGUUGCUACUUAAAAGAUGGUUCUGCUAUCACUAAGAGAUGGUCCCGCGGUGCAUUAGUUAGUUGGUGAGGUAAUGGCUCACCAAGACGAUGAUGCAUAGCCGAGUUGAGAGACUGAUCGGCCACAAUGGGACUGAGACACGGCCCAUACUCCUACGGGAGGCAGCAGUAGGGAAUCUUCCACAAUGGGCGAAAGCCUGAUGGAGCAACGCCGCGUGUGUGAUGAAGGGUUUCGGCUCGUAAAACACUGUUGUAAGAGAAGAAUGACAUUGAGAGUAACUGUUCAAUGUGUGACGGUAUCUUACCAGAAAGGAACGGCUAAAUACGUGCCAGCAGCCGCGGUAAUACGUAUGUUCCAAGCGUUAUCCGGAUUUAUUGGGCGUAAAGCGAGCGCAGACGGUUAUUUAAGUCUGAAGUGAAAGCCCUCAGCUCAACUGAGGAAUUGCUUUGGAAACUGGAUGACUUGAGUGCAGUAGAGGAAAGUGGAACUCCAUGUGUAGCGGUGAAAUGCGUAUAUAUAUGGAAGAACACCAGUGGCGAAGGCGGCUUUCUGGACUGUAACUGACGUUGAGGCUCGAAAGUGUGGGUAGCAAACAGGAUUAUAUACCCUGGUAGUCCACACCGUAAACGAUGAGUGCUAGGUGUUUGAGGGUUUCCGCCCUUAAGUGCCGCAGCUAACGCAUUAAGCACUCCGCCUGGGGAGUACGACCGCAAGGUUGAAACUCAAAGGAAUUGACGGGGACCCGCACAAGCGGUGGAG
Molecule: ribosomal RNA, 918 nt
Filed under: Weissella sp.
Lineage: Bacteria; Bacillati; Bacillota; Bacilli; Lactobacillales; Lactobacillaceae
Description: bacterial SSU rRNA
Rfam family: Bacterial small subunit ribosomal RNA
Source: RNAcentral